CUUGCUCUCGGGUGACGAGCGGCGGACGGGUGAGUAAUGUCUGGGAAACUGCCUGAUGGAGGGGGAUAACUACUGGAAACGGUAGCUAAUACCGCAUAACGUCGCAAGACCAAAGUGGGGGACCUUCGGGCCUCAUGCCAUCAGAUGUGCCCAGAUGGGAUUAGCUAGUAGGUGGGGUAACGGCUCACCUAGGCGACGAUCCCUAGCUGGUCUGAGAGGAUGACCAGCCACACUGGAACUGAGACACGGUCCAGACUCCUACGGGAGGCAGCAGUGGGGAAUAUUGCACAAUGGGCGCAAGCCUGAUGCAGCCAUGCCGCGUGUGUGAAGAAGG
This 334-nucleotide ribosomal RNA is filed under the name Klebsiella pneumoniae. RNAcentral describes it as "bacterial SSU rRNA". It matches the Rfam family "Bacterial small subunit ribosomal RNA", at positions 75 to 414 of the family's 1533-position model. The record is from RNAcentral. Lineage: Bacteria; Pseudomonadati; Pseudomonadota; Gammaproteobacteria; Enterobacterales; Enterobacteriaceae.